Molecule: long non-coding RNA, 1219 nt
Filed under: Heterocephalus glaber (naked mole-rat)
Lineage: Eukaryota; Metazoa; Chordata; Mammalia; Rodentia; Bathyergidae
Description: lncRNA (ENSHGLG00000047842.1)
Source: RNAcentral
AACAGGGAACCCGAGGCCAAAUGCCCACUUGCCCAAUUUUGUUUUUUUUUUUUUUUGAGACAAGGUGUCUCCAUGCAGUUCAGGUUGGCUUUGGACCACAUAGCCCAGGCUGGCCACGCAACUCGCAGCGAUCCACCUGCCUCUGCCUCCCGAGUGCUAGGAUUGUACCAGCGUGUGCCACCACGCCCAGCUCCCAAGAUAACAUUUUGGUCCGAAGAAAAACUGCCAAUCUGUGUCUCUUUUAAGCCCCACAGAAUGGAAAUGGCCUAUAAUAAGAAAUUAAGCCAGGGCGGGAGUCCCAUGAUCCGUGUGUUUUUAAAUGCGUCUCUCUGGAUCGCCGGCCCUUCCCGCCGCCGCUGUGUGGUCCGCGCCUUUCUCGGAUUCUCAUGGUAAUGAAGGCAUCCAUCUUCCGACGCGGCGGCCCGGAUCACCGCACAAUGGGCCGGGCCGGCCCCGCCACCUGUCAGAUUUUCCCAGGAAGGAGGACGGGAUGGGGAGUCAGGCAGCGACCGCGGCUGUCCCCGCCCCAGCCCAGGCCUCUGCGUCCUCUCUGCAAACCCGAGUUGAUGGUGCUGAAGUUAGGCAGCCCACAGGGUCCGGCGGCGGUGGUGGUGACAGGCUCGGGACGGGGGACUGCCCGACAGAUGGAGAGCAGCGGGGACAGAAGGAAAUGCAGGACGGGGCUGUGGCUCUGCGAGAGCUUGCCUGGCCUGAGGAGGCCCCAGGUUCCAUCUCCAGCAACAUGAAAGAGGAGAAAGGGGCCGGGGAUUCAGCUCAGUGGUUCUGCCGCCUGCCUCGAAAGCGCAAGGUCCCGAGUUCGAUCCCCGGUACCAAAAAAAAAAAAAAAAAGAAAGAGAAAGAAAAUAAAAAGGAAGAAAAGAAACUCCAGCGAUCACCGGUUUGGGGGGACUUUAGCUGAACCCGGCUGGCCGGCGCACAUUGCGUCAUUGUUGCUGUGUCCCCACCACAGCCCUAUCCGCGGCACUAUCAGGGUCCCCAGAUCAUCUGCCUGCGUGGCACUGCAAGCCCCAGCACAGCAGGGCCCAGAUUUGACCCAGUUUUGACCCUCCCCAGAGCCUGAAAUCUUAGCCACCACAUCGUCAACAUCAUUAUCACAGUUACCAGUGUGAACAAAACAUAUAGUCAAUACUUAAAUCUUUUAAAAAGAUUAAUUACAGUAUAAAACUCAUUGCCAUGAAUGCUCCUCAAAACACUCCCC